Lepisosteus oculatus (spotted gar) is the source of this 212-nucleotide non-coding RNA. The record is from RefSeq and is a predicted model, not a curated record. NCBI's taxonomy places the organism in Eukaryota, Metazoa, Chordata, Actinopteri, Semionotiformes, Lepisosteidae.
UUUGUUGGUGUUUGUGUAGCAGCUCUAGCUUUAUGUGUUGCUGUAUGUUUUAAAUCGCGCUGUGAUCGACGGGGAGCCUGUGGAUCUUUAUGCCAGAGAAUUACUUUUGUGGUUUUGCUGAUGCUCCUAAUUACAUUGACCUGGCUUUGGAUGUCCGAAGUGCCAGACAGUGACAGAGGGCGUCUGGGACGGAUCUGCGAAGUGACUUUUCU